AUGAAAAAAAAAUGUUUCGGAGGAAAAGAGAAAAGUAAAAAAAAUUAUUUCGGAGUCGUGGCCGCACCCGCGGUGCCGGGGCGCUCUCCCGCAGGCCGGCUGUAGAUGGAGCUCUUAUCCCAGAGCCUUUCCUCUGGAAACGCCGGCAGCCGGGAAUGGCCUCGGGAAACUUCUUGAUGCCAGCCGGGAACACCCUGAAAACGCGCUCGUUUCUGCCCGUCUUUUCCUGCAGGGCCUUCAGAAAUCUCAAGUCACGACUUAGUGGUUUUGCCGUGAGGGUCUCAGGGCGUUUCAAGACGUGAGUUGGGAACUUUCUCAGUCUAAUUAAGCAGGAGAGAUGGCUGAAUCUCUAACAGAUGCACUCUGAUGCUAAAAUGAUCCUCAAAUGUCUUAAGCUUAAUUAGAAACAAAACAAAACAAAACACCAUAAACCAGAAGUUUCUAAAUGAAAAAAAAAAAAAAAAGGGGGAAAGAAAACUCACAUAUCCUCCUAAUCAAAUUUAGUUCUCUUUUUCUCUGACUUUAUAGCCUUUCUGUUGUCUGUCAUGUUCUGAAUACAAAAAUUUCCACUCUAUAAAUAAAUGAACAGGAAAAAAAAUUAUAUGUGGGUGAUCAGAGAAAGAAGGGAAACACUGACAAAAAACAAACCAGGAAAAAAUGGCAUGUAUCUUGUAAAGUCACAUCUAGAAAGGCAAGUGACCUUGUAUAAUCAGCCAUCUCAUGCAGUGAGGUACACUCGAUAUCACUUUCAAGGUCAUUGGUAAUUGAUUUUCUUUGAGAUUUCGAUUUAAGCUUUCCUGAAAAUGUUUAUCCUGCUAGGUUUUGAAUUACAGCUUUGAAAUUAUGAAGGAGCAUUUUACUUUUGGCCGCCCAACACCCAUCAGACUCAUCACAGAGUUCUUUGUCUUCAACAUAGUUUUGAUGGUUCCAGGUCUUUGCACAAGUAGAGGCAAACCCUGUGGACUUUCCUAGUUAGAAGUAUUGCUCAUCUUCCUUGGUGGAUUCCAAACCUUUAUGCUAUAACAUGACCAAGAUGGACUGAACACAUUCUUGGCCCCGACAAUAAUUGUUGCCAGGGUAUCCGCAAAAUGCUGACCUCAGGCUGAGUUUCACAAAAUUACUGCUGACUUCCUCUCUGCUAAAGAAGUUUGAGAAACUCUUGUGUAAAAAAGGAAAAGGUGGAGAACACGUUACAUUAUUUUCUAUUUCAAUCACAAAGCUCUUUCCUGUCUUCUGUGACAGUCAGAAAAUGACUUUAUAAAUUAGGCAGGAAAAAAAGCAGCACCACAAACUCCAUUUCCAUCACAUUUUGAAAAAUGCAAAUGUGCAAAAGCAGAACUGAAGGUAUCAGCGCAAAUCUGCAGUUGGAUGGGGACCCACAGCAAGUGACCAGAGGAGAAGCCAUAGAAGGCCUGCAACAUCUCUGUGCAUAAAUCUCCCUGGUUUUCAUGCCGAGAGAAUGAGCAGCUCCAAAAGAUCUGUUCUAGCCAUCCUUCCUCCCAGGAUUCCAGAAAUUAUAGGAAAAAUACCACUGUGGGUUGACUACCCCCUUUGAGUGGAUGCACAGACCACUUCUGGAGUCCUGAGGCAAUGGCAUGGGAUUGGCAUUUCCAAGUUUGCUCACUGCAAUGGCCAGCACAGACACCAAGGAAAAGAAAGUCUCAGUCUGCAGCUGCAGAGUGACUGCCAGUUUCACCUAUGUGAAGAGAUCAUGUUUGACAGGCAGUGGAAAAGCAGAAAGGUAGGUACCAUGGUACUGCUGCUAGCAGUCCUACCUUUCCCACAGGUGGAACAUGGCAACAGCGAGCACAGAUGCCUCUGUAGCUCCCCAUCUCCAUACAGAGAAGCCUCAGUGCAUAUAAAAGCAAGCCUCUACCUUGUCACUCGGCCUGUAUGCAUGAGUCAUAGCAAAGAUGUCUUCUGAGGGACAAAACGUGGAGGCUUUGACAAGAACAAUCUUGUGUAAGGCCCAUCGAGGACUUUGAGCACAGGAAAGUUGCUGGUAUGUACACUCUACCUGUUUGCAACAGUACUGGUAAGAUAAGAACAGCGUGACAGGUGAGGAAAAAAGCAAUAAAAAGACACAGCUUAGGGACAGGUAAAUUGAGAGUCUACACGCUGAUUUUUCACAAUGAAUGAAUCAAAAUUACUUUGAAAUAUACAUAGGAAAAAAACUUCAAACACCUUUCAAUAGUACAAAAAGAGAAAAAAGCCUGUCUUGUAGGUGAAAAGUUAUUUAGUGUGGCAGUCUCACCUUCAUUCCUACUGUUGAUCUUGCCACACUGGUGAUUCCUAUAGAGAAACAGGUCUUUAGAAGUAAGUGCACAACAAUAAUUUCUUUUAGCCCUAUCUACAGUGUUUCUUGUCUAAAUAUUUGUAGGAAAAAUUCAUAAAGUACGUGCCUGCUGGGGCUCAGCCUAGGCUGUGGAUAUUUCUACGAAGGGAUAGCUCAACCUUUCAAGCUAUGCAAUCCAUCUCCUCUGACUGCUGUGAUGCUUUCUUACUCCAAACAAAGCCUCUGCUCCAGUUUACACACACAAAAGGCUGAUGUGUUUUCUGCCUACAGAGGGGGACCCAUCUCUCAAAUUGAAACACCUGCCAGAGAGGAGAAGGGAUGCUGAGAAAAGGGUCGGCAGGGCUUGAAUUGUCCUUGCAGUGCUGUAGAUCUGUCACUAUCCAGCCAGGGCUUUGUGUAGGUCUGAUAGGCUUGGAGCUGGGCCAGCUCCCAAAGGGGGACAUCUAAGGGCAGUGCUGCUUUGAAAGGGCUGAGAGGUGAGAAGGAGAGAGAACUUGCCAGGAAACCGAACAGCCUUUUGAUUUCUUCAGUGUUACAGCCAUGUAAUUUUCUAAAGAAAAUAACCUGACUCUGCUGAUCAAGUAGAUGGCACUGUGAUAUCAAAGCUAAUGAGGAAAGAUAAGCAAGAGAGUGAGGCACAGCUAAAAGAACAGGAAGAUGAUUCUUCAUUAUUGGUGUGUUUCAAUGUAAAGUAAGAGGGAAUAGAAAUUACCAAGAUGAAAUAUUUUCUUUGAGAACCUGAUGUUUGGCAAUUCACAAAUCAAGAGAGGAAUGGAACCUAAAAAUGGACUGUCACAAUCAACUGGAAAGAUUUUCCUUCCAGGUCUCUAUUUUGAAUCAUUAUGGAUUUGAAGCUUCACACUAAAAUGUCGUAUU
This is a long non-coding RNA of Parus major (Great Tit), 3172 nucleotides long. RefSeq lists it as uncharacterized. The transcript is spliced from 3 exons. The record is from RefSeq and is a predicted model, not a curated record. Lineage: Eukaryota; Metazoa; Chordata; Aves; Passeriformes; Paridae.